Molecule: ribosomal RNA, 446 nt
Filed under: uncultured bacterium
Lineage: Bacteria
Description: partial 16S ribosomal RNA
Rfam family: Bacterial small subunit ribosomal RNA
Source: RNAcentral
GUGAGGAAUAUUGCGCAAUGGAGGCAACUCUGACGCAGCCAUGCCGCGUGCAGGAAGAAGGCGCUACGCGUUGUAAACUGCUUUUAACCGGGAAGAAACCCCAGGACGUGUCCUGGGUUGACGGUACCGGAGGAAUAAGCACCGGCUAACUUCGUGCCAGCAGCCGCGGUAAUACGAAGGGUGCAAGCGUUAUCCGGAUUCAUUGGGUUUAAAGGGUGCGUAGGCGGAGCGUUAAGUCAGUGGUGAAAUCCUGCAGCUUAACUGUAGACUUGCCAUUGAUACUGGCGCUCUUGAGUGCGCUUGAAGUGGGCGGAAUGUGCCGUGUAGCGGUGAAAUGCUUAGAUAUGGCACAGAACACCAAUUGCGAAGGCAGCUCACUAAGGCGAUACUGACGCUGAGGCACGAAAAGCGUGGGGAUCGAACAGGAUUAGAUACCCCGGUAGUCC